RNAcentral lists this ribosomal RNA (465 nucleotides) under Vreelandella stevensii. Its description in RNAcentral is "partial 16S ribosomal RNA". It matches the Rfam family "Bacterial small subunit ribosomal RNA", at positions 338 to 795 of the family's 1533-position model. Lineage: Bacteria; Pseudomonadati; Pseudomonadota; Gammaproteobacteria; Oceanospirillales; Halomonadaceae. The record is from RNAcentral.
CCUACGGGAUGCAGCAGUGGGGAAUAUUGGACAAUGGGCGAAAGCCUGAUCCAGCCAUGCCGCGUGUGUGAAGAAGGCCUUCGGGUUGUAAAGCACUUUCAGUGGGGAAGAAAGCCUUGGGGCUAAUACCCUCGAGGAAGGACAUCACCCACAGAAGAAGCACCGGCUAACUCCGUGCCAGCAGCCGCGGUAAUACGGAGGGUGCGAGCGUUAAUCGGAAUUACUGGGCGUAAAGCGCGCGUAGGCGGUCUGAUAAGCCGGUUGUGAAAGCCCCGGGCUCAACCUGGGAACGGCAUCCGGAACUGUCAGGCUAGAGUGCAGGAGAGGAAGGUAGAAUUCCCGGUGUAGCGGUGAAAUGCGUAGAGAUCGGGAGGAAUACCAGUGGCGAAGGCGGCCUUCUGGACUGACACUGACGCUGAGGUGCGAAAGCGUGGGUAGCAAACAGGAUUAGAUACCCGUGUAGUC